Molecule: ribosomal RNA, 224 nt
Filed under: uncultured bacterium
Lineage: Bacteria
Description: partial 16S ribosomal RNA
Rfam family: Bacterial small subunit ribosomal RNA
Source: RNAcentral
UCUACCCUCACAGUCUGGAAUAACCGGCCGAAAGGCUGGCUAAUACUGGAUAGAGCGACGGAAUCCGUAAUUGGGUUUUCGGGAAAGGGAGCUGGUAACAGCCCUCGCUGUAGGAUGAGCCUGCGUCUCAUUAGCUAGUUGGUGGGGUAAUGGCCCACCAAGGCUUUGAUGGGUAGCUGGUCUGAGAGGAUGAUCAGCCACACUGGAACUGAAACACGGUCCAG